RNAcentral lists this unclassified non-coding RNA (236 nucleotides) under plant metagenome. RNAcentral describes it as "partial contains small subunit ribosomal RNA, internal transcribed spacer 1, and 5.8S ribosomal RNA". The record is from RNAcentral.
UUUCCGUAGGUGAACCUGCGGAAGGAUCAUUACUGAGUGAGGGCCCCUCGGGGUCCAACCUCCCACCCGUGUUUAACGAACAUUGUUGAUUCGUCGGGCCCACCCCACGGGCGCCUGGGGGCAUCUGCCCCCGGGCCCGCGCCCGCCGAAGCCACCUGUGAACGCUGUCUGCAGUAUGCAGUCUGAGACAAUUAUUAAAUUAAUUAAAACUUUCAACAACGGAUCUCUUGGUUCCG